RNAcentral lists this ribosomal RNA (497 nucleotides) under uncultured bacterium. RNAcentral's name for it is "partial 16S ribosomal RNA". It matches the Rfam family "Bacterial small subunit ribosomal RNA", at positions 28 to 507 of the family's 1533-position model. The record is from RNAcentral.
GAUGAACGCUGGCGGCGUGCCUAAUACAUGCAAGUCGAGCGAACAGACGAGGAGCUUGCUCCUCUGACGUUAGCGGCGGACGGGUGAGUAACACGUGGAUAACCUACCUAUAAGACUGGGAUAACUUCGGGAAACCGGAGCUAAUACCGGAUAAUAUAUUGAACCGCAUGGUUCAAUAGUGAAAGACGGUUUUGCUGUCACUUAUAGAUGGAUCCGCGCCGCAUUAGCUAGUUGGUAAGGUAACGGCUUACCAAGGCAACGAUGCGUAGCCGACCUGAGAGGGUGAUCGGCCACACUGGAACUUAGACACGGUCCAGACUCCUACGGGAGGCCGCAGUAGGGAAUCUUCCGCACUGGGCGAAAGCCUGACGGAGCAACGCCGCGUGAGUCAUGAAGGUCUUCGGCUCGUAAAUCUCUGUUAUUAGGGAAGAACAAAUGUGUAAGUAACUAUGCACGUCUUGACGGUACCUAAUCAGAAAGCCACGGCUAACUACGUG